CCUGAUGGAGGGGGAUAACUACUGGAAACGGUAGCUAAUACCGCAUAACGUCGCAAGACCAAAGAGGGGGACCUUCGGGCCUCUUGCCAUCGGAUGUGCCCAGAUGGGAUUAGCUAGUAGGUGGGGUAACGGCUCACCUAGGCGACGAUCCCUAGCUGGUCUGAGAGGAUGACCAGCCACACUGGAACUGAGACACGGUCCAGACUCCUACGGGAGGCAGCAGUGGGGAAUAUUGCACAAUGGGCGCAAGCCUGAUGCAGCCAUGCCGCGUGUAUGAAGAAGGCCUUCGGGUUGUAAAGUACUUUCAGCGGGGAGGAAGGGAGUAAAGUUAAUACCUUUGCUCAUUGACGUUACCCGCAGAAGAAGCACCGGCUAACUCCGUGCCAGCAGCCGCGGUAAUACGGAGGGUGCAAGCGUUAAUCGGAAUUACUGGGCGUAAAGCGCACGCAGGCGGUUUGUUAAGUCAG
Molecule: ribosomal RNA, 467 nt
Filed under: Escherichia coli
Lineage: Bacteria; Pseudomonadati; Pseudomonadota; Gammaproteobacteria; Enterobacterales; Enterobacteriaceae
Description: bacterial SSU rRNA
Rfam family: Bacterial small subunit ribosomal RNA
Source: RNAcentral